GCAAGUCGAGCGGUAAGGCCCUUCGGGUACACGAGCGGCGAACGGGUGAGUAACACGUGGGUGAUCUGCCCUGUACUUCGGGAUAAGCCUGGGAAACUGGGUCUAAUACCGGAUAUGACCUUACAUCGCAUGGUGUUUGGUGGAAAGAUUUAUCGGUACAGGAUGGCCCGCGGCCUAUCAGCUUGUUGGUGGGGUAAUGGCCUACCAAGGCGACGACGGGUAGCCGGCCUGAGAGGGCGACCGGCCACACUGGGACUGAGACACGGCCCAGACUCCUACGGGAGGCAGCAGUGGGGAAUAUUGCACAAUGGGCGAAAGCCUGAUGCAGCGACGCCGCGUGAGGGAUGACGGCCUUCGGGUUGUAAACCUCUUUCGACAGGGACGAAGCGCAAGUGACGGUACCUGUAGAAGAAGCACCGGCCAACUACGUGCCAGCAGCCGCGGUAAUACGUAGGGUGCGAGCGUUGUCCGGAAUUACUGGGCGUAAAGAGCUUGUAGGCGGUUUGUCGCGUCGUCCGUGAAAACUUGGGGCUCAACCCCAAGCUUGCGGGCGAUACGGGCAGACUUGAGUACUGCAGGGGAGACUGGAAUUCCUGGUGUAGCGGUGAAAUGCGCAGAUAUCAGGAGGAACACCGGUGGCGAAGGCGGGUCUCUGGGCAGUAACUGACGCUGAGAAGCGAAAGCGUGGGUAGCGAACAGGAUUAGAUACCCUGGUAGUCCACGCCGUAAACGGUGGGCGCUAGGUGUGGGUUUCCUUCCACGGGAUCCGUGCCGUAGCUAACGCAUUAAGCGNCCCGCCUGGGGAGUACGGCCGCAAGGCUAAAACUCAAAGGAAUUGACGGGGGCCNGCACAAGCGGCGGAGCAUGUGGAUUAAUUCGAUGCAACGCGAAGAACCUUACCUGGGUUUGACAUACACCGGAAACCUGCAGAGAUGUAGGCCCCCUUGUGGUCGGUGUACAGGUGGUGCAUGGCUGUCGUCAGCUCGUGUCGUGAGAUGUUGGGUUAAGUCCCGCAACGAGCGCAACCCUUGUCCUGUGUUGCCAGCGCGUUAUGGCGGGGACUCGCAGGAGACUGCCGGGGUCAACUCGGAGGAAGGUGGGGACGACGUCAAGUCAUCAUGCCCCUUAUGUCCAGGGCUUCACACAUGCUACAAUGGCCGGUACAGAGGGCUGCGAUACCGUGAGGUGGAGCGAAUCCCUUAAAGCCGGUCUCAGUUCGGAUCGGGGUCUGCAACUCGACCCCGUGAAGUUGGAGUCGCUAGUAAUCGCAGAUCAGCAACGCUGCGGUGAAUACGUUCCCGGGCCUUGUACACACCGCCCGUCACGUCAUGAAAGUCGGUAACACCCGAAGCCGGUGGCCUAACCC
Molecule: ribosomal RNA, 1366 nt
Filed under: Nocardia farcinica
Lineage: Bacteria; Bacillati; Actinomycetota; Actinomycetes; Mycobacteriales; Nocardiaceae
Description: bacterial SSU rRNA
Rfam family: Bacterial small subunit ribosomal RNA
Source: RNAcentral